This 402-nucleotide ribosomal RNA is filed under the name uncultured bacterium. Its description in RNAcentral is "bacterial SSU rRNA". It matches the Rfam family "Bacterial small subunit ribosomal RNA", at positions 355 to 774 of the family's 1533-position model. The record is from RNAcentral.
UAGGGAAUCUUGGACAAUGGGCGAAAGCCUGAUCCAGCCAUGCCGCGUGAGUGAUGAAGGCCUUAGGGUUGUAAAGCUCUUUCGCCAGGGAAGAUAAUGACGGUACCUGGAUAAGAAGCCCCGGCUAACUUCGUGCCAGCAGCCGCGGUAAUACGAAGGGGGCUAGCGUUGUUCGGAAUUACUGGGCGUAAAGCGCACGUAGGCGGCUUUCCAAGUUGGAGGUGAAAUCCCUGGGCUUAACCCGGGAACUGCCUCCAAAACUGAAAGGCUAGAGUCCGAGAGAGGUGAGUGGAAUUUCCAGUGUAGAGGUGAAAUUCGUAGAUAUUGGAAAGAGCACCAGUGGCGAAGGCGGCGCACUGGCUCGGUACUGACGCUGAGGUGCGACAGCGUGGGGAGCAAACA